GAGGGCAUUGCCGGUCGGAUCCCAG
This 25-nucleotide non-coding RNA is filed under the name Bacillus methanolicus MGA3. Lineage: Bacteria; Bacillati; Bacillota; Bacilli; Caryophanales; Bacillaceae. The record is from RNAcentral.